Molecule: non-coding RNA, 151 nt
Filed under: Aneurinibacillus sp. XH2
Lineage: Bacteria; Bacillati; Bacillota; Bacilli; Caryophanales; Paenibacillaceae
Also listed under: 1 other name
Description: SAM riboswitch aptamer (S box leader)
Rfam family: SAM riboswitch aptamer (S box leader)
About the family: The SAM riboswitch is found upstream of a number of genes which code for proteins involved in methionine or cysteine biosynthesis in Gram-positive bacteria. The SAM riboswitch acts at the level of transcription termination control.
Source: Rfam by way of RNAcentral
CUUGUAUCCCGAGCAGGCGGAGGGACUGGCCCGAUGAAGCCCGGCAACCACAUCGCGCAACGAGCUAGCGCGGACAAGUGUUCCCGGCGCGAUGAACGGUGCUAACCAGCAGAACAGGUAUGGAUACAUACUUGAUUCUGGAAGAUAAAGG